RNAcentral lists this unclassified non-coding RNA (406 nucleotides) under Hevea brasiliensis (rubber tree). The record is from RNAcentral. Lineage: Eukaryota; Viridiplantae; Streptophyta; Magnoliopsida; Malpighiales; Euphorbiaceae.
AGCAAUAGACCAAAUAGGAGGACCGGUGGAAGAAGCCUUCGAGAACAUGGAUUGAAGCUUUUUGAGCAAUGAAGCAUGGCUCCUCAGCCUUUUAUUGGGUCCAACGUUAGGCAUCAGCUCCUCAGAGAUUUUAUUGCUUUCAGAAGGGGAAAGUGUCUGCAGUUCAUGUUCAUCCUUGGUACUACAACCACCAUCGCCGACAGCAGUAUCCUUUUCCCUUGUUUUCAACUCCUCUAGCACAUCAUGUUCCAAUUUACAUUCUUCUAGCUUUCCACCAAAAUGAAGUGGCUGAACUUGUAAUUUACAUUGCAGACGUAUUCUUCUUGAUGCAAGACCCUGCAUGGCAGUGCUCCCAGCAUUUGGUAAAUUUUGUGAAUUCCGAGCCCUAAUCCUGAUUCCAGUUCCA